This 496-nucleotide ribosomal RNA is filed under the name uncultured bacterium. Its description in RNAcentral is "partial 16S ribosomal RNA". It matches the Rfam family "Bacterial small subunit ribosomal RNA", at positions 29 to 507 of the family's 1533-position model. The record is from RNAcentral.
AUGAACGCUGGCGGCGUGCCUAAUACAUGCAAGUCGAGCGAACAGACGAGGAGCUUGCUCCUCUGACGUUAGCGGCGGACGGGUGAGUAACACGUGGAUAACCUACCUAUAAGACUGGGAUAACUUCGGGAAACUGGAGCUAAUACCGGAUAAUAUAUUGAACCGCAUGGUUCAAUAGUGAAAGACGGUUUUGCUGUCACUUAUAGAUGGAUCCGCGCCGCAUUAGCUAGUUGGUAAGGUAACGGCUUACCAAGGCAACGAUGCGUAGCCGACCUGAGAGGGUGAUCGGCCACACUGGAACUGAGACACGGUCCAGACUCCUACGGGAGGCAGCAGUAGGGAAUCUUCCGCAAUGGGCGAAAGCCUGACGGAGCAACGCCGCGUGAGUGAUGAAGGUCUUCGGAUCGUAAAACUCUGUUAUUAGGGAAGAACAAAUGUGUAAGUAGCUAUGCACGUCUUGACGGUACCUAAUCAGAAAGCCACGGCUAACUACGUG